CUUGCUGGAAAGGACGAUGCGGAAUGAAAAGUCCGCGGUCGCCGGUUGAUCGAUCCCGGCUAGCACGCGCGCCUGCGCGCGUUCCCACCGGCCUGGGCGAGCACCGAGCAGCAGGCGAUACCGCUCGGGGGCAGCGCCCGGUGCGGUACGUGCCGUACGUACGUUGGCGGUUGGCUUGACUAGUAGUUCACGGCCCCGCGCCGCGUCCCGCGUCGAGCGCCCGUACGUGGGCGCACCGGCCGCAGUUGGACUCGCUCGGCUCGAUCGCGCGCGGGGAUCGGAGACCAGGCAGGCACGCGCGCGCGCCGGCGUCGCGGUAGAUGCAACCGCGGCUGCCGUGUACGCGCGCGCCGCGGUGCCGGUUGACCGUGGAAGCAGUGGGGCUGCCGGGCUGGUGGCGCGCGGGCGCGGUGAAGUCGCCGCAGCCUUUCACACACGCGCACGGAGGGUCAGACACCGAAGCGCGCGCGCGUUUCGGGCGUUGCAGUGCCGGGGACGGACACGACAAGUUUGUGGAAGCAGUAGCGCUUUCGUUCUGUCGAACCGUGCGUGCAUGUCAGAUGUGGGCGGUCGCCGCCGCACGAACGUUAGGUGGAACUCGAUUCGUGGGAUGACGAGCUGGCUUUAUCUUUCUGGUGUCGGUGAAUCUAGAUUGCCGGUGGACCGCGGCGGCUAUGGAGCGUAAGCACACACUAGCUGCACGACGACUGUUCCGGACAUGACGGCGUUCCUGGACCCUCUCGGUCGCAGAUCUUUUGCACUGUUCAUUCAU
RNAcentral lists this long non-coding RNA (772 nucleotides) under Setaria italica (foxtail millet). RNAcentral's name for it is "long non-coding RNA (SITA_LNC005437)". The record is from RNAcentral. Lineage: Eukaryota; Viridiplantae; Streptophyta; Magnoliopsida; Poales; Poaceae.